CGCGGUAUUUUGACUGUGCGAAGGUAGCAUAAUCAUUUGUCUUUUAAUUGAAGACUUGUAUGAAUGGCUGAACGAGAAAAUAACUGUCUCUUUAAAAAAAUCUUGAAUUUUACUUUUAAGUGAAAAGGCUUAAAUAAAUUUAAGGGACGAUAAGACCCUAUAAAUCUUUAUAUUAUUUUCUUUAUCUUUCAAAUUAUAUAUUAAAAGAAAAAGAAAGAAAAAGUAUUAUAUUGGGGAGAUAAAAAUAUAAUUUUUUAACUGUUUUAAAUACAAAACAAUAAUUUUUGCUUUAUUAAAAAUUGAUCCUUUUUAAAGAUUUUAAGAUUAAGUUACUUUAGGGAUAACAGCGUAAUUUUUUUUUGAGAGUUCUUAUCGAAAAAAAAGUUUGCGACCUCGAUGUUGAAUUAAAAAUAUCCUUAUAAGUGCAGAAGCUAUAAAGGAAAGUCUGUUCGACUUUUAAAAUUUUACAU
RNAcentral lists this ribosomal RNA (470 nucleotides) under Aegla strinatii. RNAcentral's name for it is "partial 16S large subunit ribosomal RNA". It matches the Rfam family "Bacterial large subunit ribosomal RNA", at positions 1932 to 2601 of the family's 2925-position model. Lineage: Eukaryota; Metazoa; Arthropoda; Malacostraca; Decapoda; Aeglidae. The record is from RNAcentral.